UCUGAGGGAGUAGAAAACCAAAGCAUUCAGGCAGUUCCCACCAAGAGGUGAGGGGCAGUGAAUAUGACUGGUUCAUACUGACUGAGCAAGAGACGGAGGUGAAAGUGGUGUAAUAGUCCUUGGCCUUCUGGAACUCAGUCUCACUGAGUGUGUUCAGAAAGUGAAAAACUGUGUGAGGCAGAACAGGUCUAGUGAGCCGAGGGACAGAGAUUCACAUCUGUAACAGCUCGGAGGGAAAAGGUCUCUGCGGCCAAAGUCAUGGCUUCGUUACACAGGCAGAUUAAUGUUAGCAGCCACAGUGUUUGUCAGGAUAGUGUACGUGUGAAAGCAUGGGUCUGCAGUCUAUAUGUGUGGCCACAUUCUUCCUCACCACAACUCUGAAAUCAGCAACAGUCCGCUCAGCUUAAAGGGUUUUAGGUCACCCUGGGAGCGAUGGUGGGGUUGGGCUUUCCUUCUGACCAUAGUACUGCCUGAUUUGGACCCGGGAACUCCAGCCCAUGCUGUCCCUCUGCAGACUUUAUGAACCAGUGCUUACCCUCUGGGAAGGUGAACGGGGCCAAGGGUGCCUACCGUAUGCCUGCCCUUAAAGACUAAAGGGUGGGCCGUUCCUUGAAGGAAAGCUGCCCAAGGAAUUUGUGCUGUAAUCUGUAUAGCAGAACAUUUUUCUGACAUGAGAAGAGCUUAGCUGGGCUCGUGGUACACCUGUAAUCCCAACUAGGAAGGCAAGGGUCAGAAGUUCAAGGCCAGCCUGGACUGUACACUAUUUGAGUUCAGGCUGGUUAUGUAGACAAAGGAAAGGGUGUUGGGGGAAGGGGUGUCUAAGAUACGUGGGGAGGCAAAGAUACAUGCAGAACAAUGUGUAACAUUUUUUGUUAAUUUGUGUGUAAAAACAAAACUUUUUGCCUUUUUCUUUGUCUACACUUAGAGGCUCUGAUCCUAGCACUCCAGAGUGACACCAUUUUGAAGGGAAGGUUUUCUCACGUCUUGUACUGAAUGUGUCUGUGCAAGUACUUGCCAGGCUUGUUAUGGAAAUGCGCCUCUAAAGGGACAGACACCCUUUGGUAGGCUGGCAGGUGAGAAGGGCAUUAGCCGUGGUUUCCUCUGGGAAGAGGGUGGACACAGUUGGCAGAGGCCGCUUCUAAGCCUUGGCAACUGAACAGGCUUGCUUUUACUCUCACCCCGCUUCUUAGCAAGCUUGUUCCAUUUCACUCAAAUGCCCCUUCAGGACAGCUAAGCUGAGAACAAAGGCAGCAGGGCCUCCCUUCUGUGCUGCUCUCUGGCUUUCUCAGCGUCUUUCCCUUUUCUCACCCCUGGGUAAACUGCAACCAGCACAGCACCUAGUACUCAUUUCUCCUCAUCUCUACAAUAGUCCUGCAGAUCCAUACCCCUGCCUCUUGGUCCUGAUGACAGCCUUGGCAACCCAAGGUCAUCAUACUUUGAUCUCCUUAGACCAGCACUGAGAUGCUUUGCUCAACAAAAUACCUGCCCUCGAACACAAGGAAGGGUCUUCCUUACAGCAGGCACGGAGGAAGGGGCGUCACUGCCACCAUCGUCCAAAUGUCUCAGUGUGACACUAGUAUGUACUCACAGGCUCAUGGAUGCCCUGGAGGCCUUCAGGUAUAGGGCUUCUCAACAUGUGUUGGGUAAUUAGCCCCUUUGAGCAUCUUAAGGUUAUCAGGGGCCGUGUCUCAAAGGGAAAGAUGCUAUUCUUUUUUCUUUUCUUUUUUUUUUCUUUUUUGGUUCUUUUUUUCAGAGCUGGGGACCAAACCCAGGGCCUUGUGCUUCCUAGGCAAGCGCUCUACCACUGAGCUAAAUCCCCAACGAAAGAUGCUAUUCUUUAGGGAAGCAGGACAAAAGGUAUUCUCUUGCCCUCCCACAACAUAUGUCAUGGACAAUGUAUAAAUGACAGGUCUGGGGCCGAAGGUUUGGGUUUGAGCGCUUGCUUAGCAUGCAGGGAACUCUGGGUUGAGCUCCUGAUGCUUCAUAAUUAUUAGAUUCACAUUGGCUUCCUUUUGUUUUCCUUAUAUUCCAGACAGAGGAUUGAUUUUUAAAUCCAUGUGUAGGUGUGUUACAUUAUCUGUAAAUUUCAUUUCAGAAUAGCAAUGGGGACAGUAGACACUAUUUAUAAGAAGGAAAUGUUGGUUCUUAGAUUCAGAACCACUUCUCUGAGGAGUCCAUGGACCCCAGAAGGAAAUCUGCUCUGCCCACGUCUCUCGUAUUAUGGCAAAGGGAAACAAAGUCCGUUCUUUAAAGGUACUUGGAUUCCUAGCACUUUGGAAGAGUCAGUGACAAAGCUUGACAUUUUCAGCAAUAGGUACUGGUGCCCAGCUGGCCUCUUCUCCCUGGUGCUGUCCGACCUCUUCCUACAGCAUUUGAGAUCUUCCUAACUAUACUGUAUCCUCCCACUCAAAGCCCAGACUUUUCUUCACUCUUUCCAUCCCUAGUCGAACAUUUAACACAGUAGGCUCGCACUCAGAAAGUGAUUGGGAAGAAAAGGUGAGACCCAUCCAAAGGUUUAAUAUACCUGAACACAGGCCAGAGAAGCCCAGGAAGAUUGCGUUCAUACUAUUUGAAGCUGACAUAGCCAGAGGCUUGAUUGUCUAUGGGGUGGCAAUGCUGCACUGUACAGGGGUUAUCUGGCCUUCAGAAGCACUUCCCUCCCACAGGUAAGCUUUUACCUAAUCCAUGAUCUCAACAACCUACUUCCAAAUGACACCCGACCCCACCUCUCCUACCUCGCUGCCUCUCCAUCUGGGAAGGAGAACUUUAUGCCUCGACCUGACUCUGCUCCUCCAGCAAAUACACAGGUCGCAGACAGAUUCAGAAACCCGAGGCUGCUGUCAUCAUGGCGACUGACCAGCUCCACAACCUCAGGAACCUGCUUCAUCCGAGCUGCCUGCUGAGGACUGUGAAGACAGCAAAAUGGACGGAGGGAAAUACCAGCCUGGCACCGUCCCUGAAUACCAGAAACCACUCUAACGAUGGAGACCAUUCAGCAGACUAUAAGCCAGCAGCUCCAGGCCAGGCACUAGCCUGUAUCCUCUGCACAGAUGACUGGAACCCUGACCGCCCUGUGGCUCCACCCUCAGUGGGCUCCUCCUACUCUGCCUGCACUUGAACUUGGAUAUCCCAGGGAGUUCCCUUCAGACUCCUGCAUGCUCAGCAUAGGUAAGCUGUAAGUCCAGCCAGUCUUUCCUCCUUUUUCCCUGAGGCCGCUGCCUCAGUUUACCCCAUCUCUUACCUGGGCAACAGCAUGGCGUGCGAACCAGCCUCUGGCUGUCAUGGCCUUGUUGGUAAGUACAAGCCAGUUGAAACUCUGACUGUGGUGCUCUCUGCCAAGCACUUCUCUGGUUCUCAGGGCCUAAAGAGUCAUGCUCUAGCCUCUCAACCUGGUGUCCUGGUAUCCAUGUGGCCUGGCUCCGGCUCCCUCUCCAGCCUCACCUCUUGCUGCCCCGGGCCUCAUAGCCUUUACUCAGUGCUCCUCUUUCUGCUUUGUUUCAUGUGACCAGCUCAAUCCUGCUGCCGUAUGGCGCUUGGGUGGACAUGGCUCUCAUCUCAACUCUGGGGGGAUGGGUGUUGCGCCUAGGUGUGACGGUGCCCCGUGGCUUCCUUUGUUCCAUGUACCACGUUUCUCUUCCCUGAGAGCUAGCCAAGGGACUCUGUCUUAAUAAUCUUGGCAGCCUCACACCUCGUCCUGGAUCUAGCACAGAAAAGGUACUUGCCCUAAAAUGAUCUCCGUGGCACCGUCUUGAUGCUCUUUCUAGUGCCUUCUGGUUUGUUCCAUAGCCUCUUCUCUGCAGUCCUCGCUCCCCUUAGGGCUAAGCACUGGGAUUCUAUUCAUCUCUGAUUGCAUGGUAAGCCCAGUGCUUGCUUCUCAAGUUACGCGAGAAAAAGGUGUCCUUAUGAAACCAGGAAGGCACAGACUGUCUCUACUUAUCCCUGUAUCCCAACUACUCCUAAAGCAGAAGGCAGCCCCAGAGGCUGAGGCAUACCUCUAAAGCAGACCUGACUCAGACCACACACCCUGCAGUUUGGGCUCUCACCUCCCAGAACCAUGAUCUUCUUCCUAGUGUCCUCACUCAGGAAGGGCUUGAUGAGGUUGUAGGCCACUGGAAACAGCUUGGGGGCUGGAAGAGAGACAAGAUGGUGUGAAGGAGAGAACAAGGGUUAACUCAGACUCUGACUGCAUCAUCUGCCACCCACCUCUGCCCACGGGGCAGCUGAGUGUGAGGCUCAGCCAGGCAUGUUUGAGGUCUAGCUCCCAGUCCGUACAAGGGUUGCGACCAACUAGCUUCCUCCUAUGGCAUCACCAACCUGAAUCCUACUGGGCCUGGUGGCUCAAAUGCUCUGGGAACUGUAAAGCAUCUGUACAGGUUAAGGUCAACGUCAGGCUUCCAGGGCCCUCCUUUGGCUCACUGUUCACUCAGUCUGCCCCCAGGUAAUGGUUCCGGUCUCUGGUUCCCACUGGCCUCAUCACCAGAAGCUCCCAGCUCACCUUUAACGACGAACAGCCGCUUCAGCGUUUCAGGAUAGUUCUCCUCAAACAUGGUGAGAAACUAGGGACAGAAUGGGUCGAGUCUCAGCAGCUCAGGCCUGCAGGCCACAGUGCCCUCCGCCCUCUGAGGAAGCCUAGCUGAGCAGUCCCUCCUGCCCCCACAUCCUCACCUCUCCAUAGGCCUCCACUGCAGGUUUCCAGAGGUGCUUGAGGCCGAGUCCCUCACAGUCGUAAAUCAUGGUGAUGGUCUCUAUCUUCUUCCCUAGCUACAGAGAACAGACAGGCAGAGGAAGCUGUCACUCCACCCUGCUGGAGAACUAAUUCAGGGCCAAUGCUGACUGCUCAGGUACACACAGAGCAAGCAGAUGCUGGGGGCUGGGCCCCGGGCUUUUCAUAUGCCCAGGGAAUAUUUCGCUGGGGAGGAAUAUCGACCUAGACAAACUGUUCUCAUCUAGCAAAUGAUGGGGUGGAUCAAGAUCACCUCUGAGGUCCCCUCUGUCCUUCGGGUCCUCCUGAGGGCCUCUGUCUUCCUGUCAAUACUGUGUGCUCCCUGGGUAGCACCCAUGCAGCCCCCAGGCCUCUCACUCAGACAUAGCUGCUCCAUCCUGCCUAAGCUCUAAGGAAGCAUCAAGUUGAAUCCCCUUUGUGUGCCCAGCCUCUUAGGGCUUCUGUACUGAGUGGGUUCUUUGAGAGCAUCUGCAAAUAAUAGUGCUGAGAAGCCACCAUACUUUCACACAUCUGACACUGCUGGGUGGGGGUGGGGGUGGCGGGAGAAAGGUGAGAGGCACCUCUAUCUUGGUCCUCAGUCCUUCCUUUCUCUUUUCUUUUCUUUCUUUUUUUUUUUUUUUUUUUUCGGAGCUGGGGACCAAACCCAGGGCCUCGCGCUUGCUAGGCAAGCGCUCUACCACUGAGCUAAAUCCCCAACCCCCAGUCCUUCCUUUCUUUUUAAAAAAAUUAUAUUUAUAUCUGUGUGUGUGUGUGUGUCUGUCUGCCUGCCUGCCUGUCUGUCUGUGUCUGUGUGUCCAUGCCACAGUGUGCAGUUCAGAAGACAAUCUGAGGAAGCUGACUCGCCUCUUCCACUCCGUAGCCUCUCAGGCUUGCUGACAAGUCUGCUUUACCCUGCCGAACCAUCUCUUCAGUCUUUGUCUUAGCAAGGGAAUUGUCGCCCUGAUUUCUUGAAAGUACACUUGGAGGAGCAGGAGUUCUGGGUUCAUCUGUACCAGGAACACCCCCAACUCCACACUUGCCCAAGGGUAGCUUAAUCCAAAACGAAGAUCUCACUGGUCCUCACGGAAACUAAAGAAGUUCUCCAACAAUGUAGUGAGAUGGCUUUCUUUGUCUUUCUAGGGUCUUUGUUGCACUGAGAAUUAAACGUAGGCCUCUGCCUGUGUGUGAGGCCAGCUGCCUGUUGCUAAGUGACAUCUCCAGGUGUAAUAAUUUAUAGUUUUUGCUUUUCUUUUGCCUGUGUCUAGGGCUUCCAUAUGUAGUCCAGGUUAGUCCUGUUGCCUGAGACCUGUGGAUCAUGGCACUGCAGGUGUGUUCCACUCACCUCGCUGCAAUGCAGGUCGGUUUUUGCUGUGGUGAGUGGGGAACCCCUGGUUUGCUGUGGGGAACCCCGGGGUGUGCUGCGUGCUCCAGCCCUCGCCCUGGGAGGUUUUAUUAAACCACGUGUCUUCAGGGUCCAGGACUGCUUUUUAUCCCCAGGUCUUCCCUGUACACCAUCCCGGUGCUUUGUGGGAAUUCAUCGUGGCAAUAACAGAUGGGAUUUUUAAAGUUUUCUUUAGCAAAAUAAAAUCACGGGAAGAAGGAAGUGUGGCUCAGUGGUGGAGUAGAACACUUCCCUAACACACUCAAGGCCCUGGGCUCAGUCUCCAGGCAAAGGAACAGAGGGAGGGAGGAAACGAGAGAGAGAAGAAAGAUGGAUUGGUGAAUGUUCGUCCAAACCCUGAUUUCAGGUCUAUGAAAUGCAAACCCUGAGGCCGUGCCUCCAGCCGUGUGUGACAUCCUGCCUCUUCCUGAAUGCCUCCACCGUGAUCCACUCGCUCUCAGUGGCAGACAGGGCCACCCACCUUUGCGGUCUGAUGGGUGCACUCCUGCAGAAGCAGCUCACAAUCUCUCAUCUUGGUCCUGAGCAGGUCUUGCUUGGAGGCGGAGAACAGCAGACCCUUGGCAUCCAGUGGGCCGAUGAUGUCAUACCAGACAGGGCAGCCGUCCAGGUCAUACCCACACCGGCCGCCUGACAGAUACUGUUGGAUCACCUGGCCAAAGACAUAGUAAAAGCACCUGGUGGGCAGGCCCAAAACAUCCACGCCUUUCCUGAGUCCCUCCUUUGGGUGCCAAAAGAUUCAUAUUUUACAGCUAAAGGGACUCCUCUGACAUUGCCAGCCUGUCCUCUGAGGCUCCCAGCCCAGUAGACCAUGAUGUGAACUGUGAGUCUUAGAAGCAUCCUUACACAGGAACGGAGUGGGAUAAUUUGUUCUUACCUCUGGUGGCUGCCAGCUGAUGAUUUUGUCAAUGUCCUUUUGCUUCCGGAAUUCCACAUGCUGCAAAUACACAGAUUUAGGAAGCACAAGGUGAAAGCAUUAGGAAGCAAGAGGUGUGUGGUGGGGGGUGGGGUCCUGAAUAUGAAGGAGUAGUCAGCACAAGCUGACCUCCAGACCACAGCUGACCCCCAGAAGGAGCUGAACAGGAGUAGGAAAGGAGGCCCCCCGUUUCUUCUCAUAGCUCAUCGAGAAUAUCAUUGUUGGCUGAUCUGGAAGUAGAAGAACCUGAUAUUUCCAGGGAAGGAAAUGCACUUUGUCCCUCAGGGAUAAAGCAACAAUCGUUGGCUAAUAGCUGGGUCACACUACCCAAAAUCUAUGAUGGGUGGGUGAUGGGGAGGCAGGCGAUGUCCAGGCAAGGUGUGAGUCUGAUGGGAGGAACCGUGGCAGGAAUAGGUGCUCACCUUCCGGAGCAUGGCCUCCGACUUCUGCAGGUCAAAGCUUCGGGCUGUAACAAAAGCAUGGUCGGGGUUGAGCAUGAGACUGCAUCCUUAAGGACUCCUUUCCCAGGCUGGGGCCAAGUCCCCUUGUGGGUUCCCCCCGCCAACUGUCAGCUCAGAGCCUUGUAAACAGCACAGCUCUGAGUUUGUGGAACAGUCAGGUCAAGUUCAAGACAGUUGGGAGUGGGCAGCAUCGUAACCGUGGGGUCAGAGUAUCCACGUAGAUAAUCAGGUAAAGGGACUUAUCUUAGAGAAAGUGAACCCUGGAUCCUCUUAUCAAUUGGCCAUACCCCACAAGGAUGGAAUUUAUCUCUGUCACAGUAUAAAAUCAAGCCCUGAGAAGUUGAUCCACAGUUCAAAGAUGAACACAGCUGCUCUAGAAUCUGGGGCCAGAGUUGGCCAAACAUCCUGGGAAGGUAGAGUAGUUGCUAUCCCUCCAGAAAAUCCUGACAUUUCUCUAAAAGACCCACACAUUCCUUAUGGGAGCACAACCGGUUCUUAAGUCGGUUCACCAGGGCCCACUCCAACAAGUUGCCCUGCUCAAAUCUGAACCCAAGAUGUUGCUGUCACUGGUUACUUGUGGUAACCAGAGUUGCCAUGUGUACCAGUCAGCUACGCUGCCAUUUACACCAGAGACAGGGUUGUCUCCCUCAUCGUACAUCAGCCCUCCCCAAGCAUGAGUUCUGUGCUGCCUCCAGGGCCUCCCCUCCACAGUGAAGCCUGUCCUGGGAGCCUUCAGUUUUCACACUCAGCUUUGUGACCUUCCUAACGGCUUCCCUUUGGAUGUUGUUCCCCUGGUCGGGGGCCCCUCCCAGGUGAACCUCACGAGCUGAGCCCAGGUGUCGUUUGCCCCUUCUCCAAUAAACCCUCACAAUUCUCUUGGCAGCAUUCAGGUAGAGCUUAGAGUCAACUGAAACCCCAAAUCCUUCACACCUGUGCACCAGCUAAGCCUCCGCCCCCUCUCUAGAGAGGCAGGGCCCUCAUCACCACAGUCCCCUUCAUCCCAGCCAUCCCAAGAGUGUCUGAGACUCUGGGCCAUUUGGCCUCUGACCUAUGUCCCUCCUGGCUGCACAUCCUCCAUGGGUUUAAUUGGCAUCUAGAUCUGCUGAUAGCCCUGGAACCCCAACACACAGGCUGCCCUUUGGGUUGUCAACAAUGCCUUCAUCAUGAUCUCUGGGAACAGGGGAACAUACUCCCUGACUCUGCAUUCUUGAAGUCUGAUCCUCUAUCUGAGUCGGGAUGGUACGUCUAAAGGUCUGACCAAGCCUGGGUGUGGCACCUUGGUAGCCUAAGACAGCUGGGCCCCAAGUUCGAAGUCAGCCAGGGCUACAUAAGAAGUUCGGGCUUACUGGUGCUACAUAUUAAAACACUAGCUUAGAAAGAAAGGAAAGAAACAAAGAAGCAAAGAAAGAAAGAAAGAGAGAGAGAGAGAGAGAGAGAGAGAGAGAGAGAGAGAGAGAGAGAGAGAAGAAAGAGGGGAAGGCCAGUAAAAUGGUUCAAAGGGUAAAGGAGCACACUGGGCAUGCCCAGCAGCCUGACAACUUGAGUUUGCUCCCCAGGAUUCCUAAAGUGGAAGAUAACUACAGAGUUAUCCACUCCCCUGCACAUGUGCACUGUGGCCUGCACUCCACACCCCAAUCUCUCUCUCACUGUCCUUCCCCCUUCCUCCCCACACACAUACUACACAUCCUAAAAUACAUUUUCAAAACAAGAGAAAAUGAGAAAGGGUUGGCCAGGCCACCGCCACCAGCCUGCCAGAUCCUUUCUGGCAGUCACUCUGGCAAGCCGGGCUUAGGAAUUUCCUCACUGCCACCCUUCCUGUGGCACCGGCAGCCAGGGCCACUUUUGGACAAAUGUAACGUGGGUCUGUAUCUCCGCUCCUCCACCUUGUGUGUUUUAUCUCGGAGAAGAUACUCUGUGUGCCUGACUAUACCACUUAAGAAGCUAGAACUGCGUGUCCUUUUGUAAAAAGAGGAGGCAGACCAUGAAAAUCAGUUUCUCACAGAAAGGACACCCCUCGAGAGAGGAGAACCCUUCUCUUCCUAGAGAACAGGUAUCCAGUAGUAGUAAAUGGCACUCGUCCUUAUCUGAGGGGAAUUCUCCAGUUGAUUAUCUGCCACAGGUCCCACAUUCAGGGUCUUCCCCUGCUCACCCUGCUCCUCCCACCCUGCUCACAAGCACCUGAGAGCUUGGCUUGGGCACUGACCAGUAGCCUAUCCCACGGCCCUGUGAGCUGCAAGCUCAGCUAUGCUCUGCUCUCUCCCUGGGCUCUUGCUGCCUCUGUUCUGUCUUGCUCACUGACCUUCCCUCCUGGGGUGGGCACCCAGAUCUCACUUCCAGCCAGAGAGGCAGUGGGAACUCAUGUGUCUGUGGAGAGGGGACCAGUAAAAACCUGAACCCCAAAGCACAUACCACAUUCCACAGCAGCAAAGGACUCCUUUAGAAUCAAAGACGUGAGGAGGGGUGUGUGGGAUUUUUAAAAAAGGGUUGGUUUUUUUUUUUUUUUUUUUUUUUGCAAAGCAACAAAAACCCCAAUUCAAAUUUGGAAUAGGGUCUGAGUAAGCCAGAGCCGCUGCCCAGAAAAUAAGAGGCACAAAUGCACUACAGAGGGAAAACUUCCUCCGCCCUGUGAAGCAGACUUUGAAACCAGAGGUGUAACUCAGAGAUAAAAAUGCUUGCCUGGGGGUUGGGGAUUUGGCUCAGUGGUAGAGCGCUUGCCUAGGAAGCGCAAGGUCCUGGGUUCGAUCCCCAGCCCCGGAAAAAAAAAAAAGGAAAAAAAAAUGCUUGCCUGGCAUGCAUCAGACUCUGGGUCCAGUCCUCAACAGCUCAAAUUUGAUUAGGAAGCAAUGCUUGCCUUCAAGAGCAAGCAGCUCACUGGGAAGGAGCUGUGGCUUGCUGGAAAGGGUGCUAGCCCUGGUUUUGCUUACCAUUGUCUUUGUGCCUUCAGGUACGUUCCGUGCCCUGACUGAGACUAAGUUUUCUCACCUGGAAAAUGAAUGACCAUCCUACAAGGGCAUGGCCAGUACCAGGCGUGGGCCCUGGCUAAACUAUCAGGCCUUAUACAAACGGUCCAUCCCAUCCCAGGAUAAGGACAGCAAAUGUCUCAUGUCUAGGACACCAGCUGCUAAGACCUCACACCGGCCUGAGCUGCAGAGCUAUUCAAUGGCUCUCUCUCACACACACACUUCUCUGCCUCCUAGCAGCAGUUCCACAGUCAGAUCAUCUUGGAGCUGGCCCUUUAAGGAGGCUACUAUCCUCCCACUCUUUCUCCACCCACCUUCUUCUAGCCUUACUCUUUCAGCAAAUGCUAGGCCAAAAUUCCCUCCAGCAUAGACUGACUUCAUUGCCACCCCCACACCACCCCUCCACCUCCUCUAGGUAGCCUGGGAAAGGGGCCAGAUCAUAUAGGUGGUGGGGCAAGGGUGGGCAGACGACACUUCCAGAGGCUCAUGAGCUGCACGUGGCUCUCCUGCGUGCACCUGUCCUGGGGUGUUGCUAGCAGGCCUUCAAGAAUAUGCCUGCUUUGUUAAGUUUCUGGAAACAGAAAUGACAUCUCUUUGUCUACUUCGAGUCUUCCUGGGCCCAGAGAUGCGAGAAUGUGCCCCAGGGCGGGUCUUGUACACUCACAUUUACAACGGAGUUCUACCUAAAAAACGGGAGUUCUGCUAGUCAAACUCAGUAGAGUUUUCCCAUUUUUUAUGUCUGGCAAUAAAGUUUCUAUAAAGAAAAAAA
Molecule: non-coding RNA, 11207 nt
Organism: Rattus norvegicus (Norway rat)
Lineage: Eukaryota; Metazoa; Chordata; Mammalia; Rodentia; Muridae
Source: RefSeq, a predicted model, not a curated record